UACGGGGGGGCAAGCGUUGUUCGGAAUUACUGGGCGUAAAGGGCGCGUAGGCGGUCAGACCAAGUCGAGUGUGAAAUUCCAGGGCUUAACUCUGGCGCGCUCGCUCGAUACUGGUCGGCUAGAGUGUGGAAGAGGAUGCUGGAAUUCCCGGUGUAGCGGUGAAAUGCGUAGAUAUCAGGAGGAACACCGGUGGCGAAGGCGGGUCUCUGGGCCGAUACUGACGCUGAGGAGCGAAAGCGUGGGGAGCGAACAGG
RNAcentral lists this ribosomal RNA (254 nucleotides) under uncultured bacterium. RNAcentral's name for it is "partial 16S ribosomal RNA". It matches the Rfam family "Bacterial small subunit ribosomal RNA", at positions 524 to 776 of the family's 1533-position model. The record is from RNAcentral.